UGGGGAAUUUUGGACAAUGGGCGAAAGCCUGAUCCAGCAAUGCCGCGUGUGUGAAGAAGGCCUUCGGGUUGUAAAGCACUUUUGUCCGGAAAGAAAUCCUUGGCUCUAAUACAGUCGGGGGAUGACGGUACCGGAAGAAUAAGCACCGGCUAACUACGUGCCAGCAGCCGCGGUAAUACGUAGGGUGCAAGCGUUAAUCGGAAUUACUGGGCGUAAAGCGUGCGCAGGCGGUUUGCUAAGACCGAUGUGAAAUCCCCGGGCUCAACCUGGGAACUGCAUUGGUGACUGGCAGGCUAGAGUAUGGCAGAGGGGGGUUAGAAUUCCACGUGUAGCAGUGAAAUGCGUAGAGAUGUGGAGGAAUACCGAUGGCGAAGGCAGCCCCCUGGGCCAAUACUGACGCUCAUGCACGAAAGCGUGGGGAGCAAACAGGAUUAGAUACCCUGGUAGUCCACGCCCUAAACGAUGUCAACUAGUUGUUGGGGAUUCAUUUCCUUAGUAACGUAGCUAACGCGUGAAGUUGACCGCCUGGGGAGUACGGUCGCAAGGUUAAAAGCUUAAAUGAAUUGACGGGGUCAUAGCUGUUUCCU
Molecule: ribosomal RNA, 587 nt
Filed under: uncultured bacterium
Lineage: Bacteria
Description: partial 16S ribosomal RNA
Rfam family: Bacterial small subunit ribosomal RNA
Source: RNAcentral